AACACUGUUAACCUGCGGUACCUGCGGAAGGAUCAUUACGAGAGUGUCACCACUCCCAACCCAUUGUUUACCUACCCGUCCACCGUGCUUCGGCAGGCAGCCCUGUGGGACAGAGCCUCGCCCCCUUUCGCGGGGGGUGCCUGCCGCUUGCCAACCAAAACUCUAGCUGUUUUAGUACCAUCUGAGUCUUCCACAAAUGAACAAAACUUUCAACAACGGAUCUCAGAUCGGAAGAGCACA
RNAcentral lists this unclassified non-coding RNA (240 nucleotides) under soil metagenome. RNAcentral's name for it is "partial contains 5.8S ribosomal RNA, internal transcribed spacer 2, and large subunit ribosomal RNA". The record is from RNAcentral.